This 254-nucleotide ribosomal RNA is filed under the name uncultured bacterium. RNAcentral's name for it is "partial 16S ribosomal RNA". It matches the Rfam family "Bacterial small subunit ribosomal RNA", at positions 524 to 776 of the family's 1533-position model. The record is from RNAcentral.
CACGUAGGGGGCGAGCGUUGUCCGGAUUUAUUGGGCGUAAAGAGCUCGUGGGCGGCUCAGUAAGUCAGGUGUGAAAACUCCAGGCUCAACCUGGAGACGCCACCUGAUACUGCUGUGGCUAGAGUCCGGUAGGGGAGCAUGGAAUUCCUGGUGUAGCGGUGAAAUGCGCAGAUAUCAGGAGGAACACCGGUGGCGAAGGCGGGUCUCUGGGCCGAUACUGACGCUGAGGAGCGAAAGCGUGGGGAGCAAACAGG